Molecule: transfer RNA, 69 nt
Filed under: Ovis aries (sheep)
Lineage: Eukaryota; Metazoa; Chordata; Mammalia; Artiodactyla; Bovidae
Rfam family: tRNA
About the family: Transfer RNA (tRNA) molecules are approximately 80 nucleotides in length.
Source: Rfam by way of RNAcentral
CCUGAUGGCUCAGAUGGUAAAGCAUCUGCCUGCAAUGCAGGGGACCGGGGUUCGAUUCCUGGGUCAGGA